This 518-nucleotide long non-coding RNA is filed under the name Homo sapiens (human). Its description in RNAcentral is "HSALNT0253378". The record is from RNAcentral. Lineage: Eukaryota; Metazoa; Chordata; Mammalia; Primates; Hominidae.
GAUGGGUCCUCUGGAGGCUGGGCCGCCAAGAGGCGGCGGCUGCACCAUCUGAUGCUAGAGAACGAGAACCGCAGUGCGUGCCCGACACAAAGGGAAGGACAGGGGACACUGGAACAGGGGAGACGACAUGGAAGAAAUCUGGGGGAGCCAAAAGCCGCCAUGCCGAGAAGGGGGUCGGAGGAGGCGCGGGAGAGAAAAGCCCAGGGCUGUACACUCGCAUCCCUCUGCUGCCGGCCCUUCGGGUACAUUCAAAUACUGGGCAUGAGUCCCGCAGACAAGGCUUUGAAAGGAUAUUGUUCUCCCAUAAAUAGAAGUGAAGGUGCUGGAAGAGGCACGAGCAGGAAAAUUAUGGCUGGGCUGUGGACAUCUAUGGAGAAGACAGACUUGUGUGUCACUGUUGAGCAAAGGAGAGCCCUGCACACCUGCCCAGGGAGAAAGCACCCUGCCUUGGGCUACUUCUGGCUGCAGAGCCAGCCUGGCACAUCCUGCAGUUCCUCCCGUCCAGACUCAGUAGCAAU